Molecule: microRNA, 18 nt
Filed under: Corchorus olitorius
Lineage: Eukaryota; Viridiplantae; Streptophyta; Magnoliopsida; Malvales; Malvaceae
Description: cin-miR-4192-
Source: RNAcentral
UGAUGGAUAAUUGGUUAA